GCUGUAGCUCAGUGGUAGAACAUCUGCUCUGCAUGCAAAAGGGCCCAGGUUCAAUCCCUGGCAUCUGCA
This is a non-coding RNA of Podarcis lilfordi (Lilford's wall lizard), 69 nucleotides long. NCBI's taxonomy places the organism in Eukaryota, Metazoa, Chordata, Lepidosauria, Squamata, Lacertidae. The record is from the annotation of a GenBank genome assembly.